CCUACGGGAGGCAGCAGUGAGGAAUAUUGGUCAAUGGACGGAAGUCUGAACCAGCCAUGCCGCGUGCAGGAAGACGGCUCUAUGAGUUGUAAACUGCUUUUGUACAAGGGGAAACCUGAAUACGUGUAUGCAGCUGAAAGUACUGUACGAAUAAGGAUCGGCUAACUCCGUGCCAGCAGACGCGGUAAUACGGAGGAUCCAAGCGUUAUCCGGAUUUAUUGGGGUUAAAGGGUGCGUAGGCGGAUUGAUAAGUUAGAGGUGAAAUGUCCGCGCUUAACUCGGGAACUGCCUCUCAUACUGUUGCUCUAGUGCGUAGCUGCGGUAGGCGGAAUGUAUGUUGUAGCGG
RNAcentral lists this ribosomal RNA (346 nucleotides) under uncultured bacterium. RNAcentral's name for it is "partial 16S ribosomal RNA". It matches the Rfam family "Bacterial small subunit ribosomal RNA", at positions 338 to 681 of the family's 1533-position model. The record is from RNAcentral.